RNAcentral lists this ribosomal RNA (482 nucleotides) under uncultured bacterium. RNAcentral's name for it is "partial 16S ribosomal RNA". It matches the Rfam family "Bacterial small subunit ribosomal RNA", at positions 28 to 506 of the family's 1533-position model. The record is from RNAcentral.
GACGAACGCUGGCGGCGUGCUUAACACAUGCAAGUCGAACGCUGAAGCUCAGCUUUUGUUGGGUGGAUGAGUGGCGAACGGGUGAGUAACACGUGAGUAACCUGCCUCCUUCUUUGGGAUAACGCCCGGAAACGGGUGCUAAUACUGGAUAUUCACUGGUCUUCGCAUGGGGGUUGGUGGAAAGGGUUUUUCUGGUGGGGGAUGGGCUCGCGGCCUAUCAGCUUGUUGGUGGGGUGAUGGCCUACCAAGGCUUUGACGGGUAGCCGGCCUGAGAGGGUGACCGGUCACAUUGGGACUGAGAUACGGCCCAGACUCCUACGGGAGGCAGCAGUGGGGAAUAUGGCACAAUGGGCGCAAGCCUGAUGCAGCGACGCCGCGCGAGGGAUGGAGGCCUUCGGGUUGUGAACCUCUUUCGCUCAUGGUCAAGCCGCAACAAUGGUUGUGGUGAGGGUAGUGGGUAAAGAAGCGCCGGCUAACUACGU